AUACGUAGGUGGCAAGCGUUGUCCGGAAUUAUUGGGCGUAAAGCGCGUGCAGGCGGUCCUUUAAGUCUGAUGUGAAAGCCCACGGCUCAACCGUGGAGGGUCAUUGGAAACUGGGGGACUUGAGUGCAGAAGAGGAAAGCGGAAUUCCACGUGUAGCGGUGAAAUGCGUAGAGAUGUGGAGGAACACCAGUGGCGAAGGCGGCUUUCUGGUCUGUAACUGACGCUGAGGCGCGAAAGCGUGGGGAGCAAACAGGAUUAGAUACCCUGGUAGUCCACGCCGUAAACGAUGAGUGCUAAGUGUUAGAGGGUUUCCGCCCUUUAGUGCUGCAGCUAACGCAUUAAGCACUCCGCCUGGGGAGUACGGCCGCAAGGCUGAA
This 377-nucleotide ribosomal RNA is filed under the name uncultured bacterium. RNAcentral's name for it is "bacterial SSU rRNA". It matches the Rfam family "Bacterial small subunit ribosomal RNA", at positions 523 to 898 of the family's 1533-position model. The record is from RNAcentral.